ACGCUCGACACCUACGGGGGCAGCAGUGGGGAAUAUUGCACAAUGGGGGAAACCCUGAUGCAGCGACGCCGCGUGAGUGAAGAAGUAAUUCGUUAUGUAAAGCUCUAUCAGCAGGGAAGAAAGUGACGGUACCUGAGUAAGAAGCCCCGGCUAACUACGUGCCAACAGCCGCGGUAAUCUGAGCGGGCUGGCAAGGC
Molecule: ribosomal RNA, 197 nt
Filed under: uncultured bacterium
Lineage: Bacteria
Description: partial 16S ribosomal RNA
Rfam family: Bacterial small subunit ribosomal RNA
Source: RNAcentral